GACGAACGCUGGCGGCGUGCUUAACACAUGCAAGUCGAACGGAAAGGCCCUGCUUUUGUGGGGUGCUCGAGUGGCGAACGGGUGAGUAACACGUGAGUAACCUGCCCUUGACUUUGGGAUAACUUCAGGAAACUGGGGCUAAUACCGGAUAGGAGCUCCUGCUGCAUGGUGGGGGUUGGAAAGUUUCGGCGGUUGGGGAUGGACUCGCGGCUUAUCAGCUUGUUGGUGGGGUAGUGGCUUACCAAGGCUUUGACGGGUAGCCGGCCUGAGAGGGUGACCGGGCACAUUGGGACUGAGGUAGGGCCCAGACUCCAACGGGAGGCAGCAGUGGGGAAUAUUGCACAAUGGGCGGAAGCCUGAUGCAGAAACGCCGCGUGCGGGAUGACGGCCUUCGGGUUGUAAACCGCUUUCGCCUGUGACGAAGCGUGAGUGACGGUAAUGGGUAAAGAAGCACCGGCUAACUACGUG
RNAcentral lists this ribosomal RNA (468 nucleotides) under uncultured bacterium. RNAcentral describes it as "partial 16S ribosomal RNA". It matches the Rfam family "Bacterial small subunit ribosomal RNA", at positions 28 to 507 of the family's 1533-position model. The record is from RNAcentral.